UUGAUCCUGGCUCAGAAUCAACGCUGGCGGCGUGCCUCAGACAUGCAAGUCGAACGCGAAAGGUCCUUCGGGACUGAUUAGAGUGGCGCACGGGUGAGUUACACGUAGGUAAUUUACCUUUGGGUGGGGAAUAACAAUCGGAAACGAUUUCUAAUACCGCAUAAUGCAGCGGCUCGACAUCGAGACAGUUGUUAAAGCGUGGGAUUCGCAAGAACCUCGCGCCUGAAGAGAAGCCUGCGGCAGAUUAGCUUGUUGGUAGGGUAAUGGCCUACCAAGGCGACGAUCUGUAGCCGGCCUGAUAGGGCGGUCGGCCACACUGACACUGAAUAACGGGUCAGACUCCUACGGGUGGCAGCAGUCGGGAAUUUUGGGCAAUGGGCGAAAGCCUGACCCAGCAACUCCGCGUGAAGGAUGAAAUUUUUCGGAAUGUAAACUUCGCAAGAAUAGGAUGAAUAAGUUCAGGCUAAUAUCCUGAAUGAUGACGGUACUAUUUGUAAGCUCCGGCUAACUCCGUGCCAGCAGCCGCGGUAAUAAGGU
Molecule: ribosomal RNA, 537 nt
Filed under: uncultured Acidobacteriota bacterium
Lineage: Bacteria; Pseudomonadati; Acidobacteriota
Description: bacterial SSU rRNA
Rfam family: Bacterial small subunit ribosomal RNA
Source: RNAcentral